Molecule: long non-coding RNA, 419 nt
Filed under: Panax ginseng (ginseng)
Lineage: Eukaryota; Viridiplantae; Streptophyta; Magnoliopsida; Apiales; Araliaceae
Description: long non-coding RNA (PGIN_LNC016086)
Source: RNAcentral
CAGUCAAAUGUCAGACAUCAUAGAUCGGUGUCUGUUAGUUGUUUUUGUGUUUUGACUGUUUGUAUUGAUAGUAUGUUAUCUGGUCUUUACUCUGAAACUCUAAGUAAGUCCAGAUCUUGUCCAGAUCAAAAGUUAUGAACGGUCAAACCUAGUUGACCGAUCACAAAAUUACUUUCUGGGCAACCCAGGAAAAUUCCCAGAAUUUCUGACAAGGAUUUCACGGCUUCUGAUCUUGCUAGUUUUUAUGUUUUUGGUCGAAUUGUUGGUUGUAUCUUGUAAACUGGUAUGUGAUAUACACAUGGAAGUCAUUAUAACACUUCGAAAUUUAACAGGAUCGUUUAUAAUCUUGGUCAAACUAGCUUGACCGAUCUGCUUUGAUGAAGGUUCUGGAAAACCCAGAAUCUUCAAGAACCAGCCCC